UCCAAUUUUGACUAAAUCUGUUCUUUUGAGUUGUCUAUGACAUUAAAUUUAGGCAAUAAAAUUGCUUUGAAGACUGAAUCACUAGUAGUUAAGAGUUUAAACAGAUCAAUUUAGAUUAUUUUUAGUUAUCGCUAUUGAUUUUUUUUUCAAGAGAAUUUAAGGAUACUUUUCUUCUUUUUUAAUCAAAUUGAGAUGUUGUUUUAAGAUAAUUCUUUAGUACUUGUCUAUGAUUGGUGAUAAUUCUUUAGUACUUGUAUAUAUGUUUCUAGAAAAAAUUGUUUUACUUCAGGCAUUAAAGUAUUGUGUACUAUUUUUUUCUAUUUAUUCCCUGUUAAUUCUUUUCUUCAUGCAAUCUAAAACUCAUAUACUUGGACAAUAAUGUCAAGUCACAGCUAUCAAUACUACUGUUUUACAUCACUGUUGGUGGCAUCUAAUUUCUUCAUAAUUCCUCACGUUUUCAUCAUCUUUUGAUACAUUCCCUGAUACUAAAACUUUUGAAAAUUGAUGCUACUAAUUGAGUGGUUCAGAUUUUAUAUUGGGGCAUUCUUUGGAACUUGGAGAUUAGCAAUCAGAGUUUCAAUAUUGUUGAUGUUAUGCCUGCAAGCGUGGAGGAUCUAACUGAAGUGAUAACAUCUGCAGAAUUCCACUCUACUCAUUGUAAUUUGUUAGCAUAUAGCAGUUCAAAAGGCUCAAGAUGCUUAUUGAUUUGUGACAGUCAGCUUUAUGUGUUUCUCAUGCUAAAUUGUAAGUGUUUCCAUUGGUUUAGUUCUUUUAAUGUCUUCUGUGGUAGAACGAAUGAAAAAGGUGGAUAUAUCAUUGGCUUGGACACAUUUACUCUUAGAAGAUAGGAAAAAGCAUCUGUUCAGUUAUGUUAUUGGAUAUGAUAGAAUUUGCUUCUAGUUUCCUUUAAUAUCCUUUGUACAUAGGUUCGAGAAACAAGAGGCACCUGGUUCUAGAUCAUUUUUCACAGAGAUAAUUACUUCAAUCUUAGAUAUUAAAUUUGCAAAGGAUGGAAUUUGAGGAAUGGAAUAGAAGGUUUAUUGAUUGGUUUAAAAA
Molecule: long non-coding RNA, 1056 nt
Organism: Mangifera indica (mango)
Lineage: Eukaryota; Viridiplantae; Streptophyta; Magnoliopsida; Sapindales; Anacardiaceae
Exons: 2
Source: RefSeq, a predicted model, not a curated record